This 429-nucleotide ribosomal RNA is filed under the name Gemmatimonadota bacterium. Its description in RNAcentral is "Gemmatimonadetes bacterium partial 16S ribosomal RNA". It matches the Rfam family "Bacterial small subunit ribosomal RNA", at positions 355 to 776 of the family's 1533-position model. Lineage: Bacteria; Pseudomonadati; Gemmatimonadota. The record is from RNAcentral.
UAGGGAAUCUUCGGCAAUGGACGAAAGUCUGACCGAGCAACGCCGCGUGAGUGAAGAAGGUUUUCGGACCGUAAAACUCUGUUGUUAGAGAAGAACAAGGACGUUAGUAACUGAACGUCCCCUGACGGUAUCUAACCAGAAAGCCACGGCUAACUACGUGCCAGCAGCCGCGGUAAUACGUAGGUGGCAAGCGUUGUCCGGAUUUAUUGGGCGUAAAGCGAGCGCAGGCGGUUUCUUAAGUCUGAUGUGAAAGCCCCCGGCUCAACCGGGGAGGGGCAUUGGAAACUGGGGGGCUUGAGUGCAGAAGAGGGGAGUGGAAUUCCAAGUGUAGCGGUGAAAUGCGUAGAUAUAUGGAGGAACACCGGUGGCGAAGGCGGCUAUCUGGUCUGUAACUGACGCUGAGGCGCGAAAGCGUGGGGAGCAAACAGG